RNAcentral lists this ribosomal RNA (445 nucleotides) under uncultured bacterium. Its description in RNAcentral is "partial 16S ribosomal RNA". It matches the Rfam family "Bacterial small subunit ribosomal RNA", at positions 354 to 796 of the family's 1533-position model. The record is from RNAcentral.
GUGAGGAAUAUUGCGCAAUGGAGGCAACUCUGACGCAGCCAUGCCGCGUGCAGGAAGAAGGCGCUACGCGUUGUAAACUGCUUUUAACCGGGAAGAAACCCCAGGACGUGUCCUGGGUUGACGGUACCGGAGGAAUAAGCACCGGCUAACUUCGUGCCAGCAGCCGCGGUAAUACGAAGGGUGCAAGCGUUAUCCGGAUUCAUUGGGUUUAAGGGGUGCGUAGGCGGAGCGUUAAGUCAGUGGUGAAAUCCUGCAGCUUAACUGUAGACUUGCCAUUGAUACUGGCGAUCAUGAGUGCGCUUGAAGUGGGCGGAAUGUGCCGUGUAGCGGUGAAAUGCUUAGAUAUGGCACAGAACACCAAUUGCGAAGGCAGCUCACUAAGGCGAUACUGACGCUGAGGCACGAAAGCGUGGGGAUCGAACAGGAUUAGAUACCCUUGUAGUCC